ACUAGGCUACCUGCCUCCCCAACGCUCUAACCACUAGGUCACCUGCCACCCCAACGCUCUAACCACUAGGCUACCUGCCUCCCCAACGCUCUAACCACUAGGCUACCUGCCGCUCUAACCACUAGGUUACCUGCCGCCCCAACGCUCUAAGUUACCUGCCUCCCCAACACUGUAACCACGAGGCUAUCUGCCACACCAACGAUCUAACCACUAGGUUACCUGCCUCCCCAACACUGUAACCACUAGGCUAUCUGCCACACCAACGAUCUAACCACUAGGUUACCUGCCACCUCAAUGCUCUAACCAUUAGGUUACCUGCCUCCCCAACGCUCGAACCACUAGGCUACCUACCACCCUAUAACACUGUAACCACUAGGCUAUCUGCCACCCCAACGAUCUAACCACUAGGCUACCUGCCGCCCCAACGCUCUAACCACUAGAUUACCUGCCGCUCUAACCACUAGGUUACCUGACUCUCCAACACUCUAACCACUAGGCUAACUGCCUCCCCAACGUUCUAACCACUAGGCUACCUGCCGCCCCAACGCUCUAACCACUAGAUUACCUGCCGCCCCAUCGCUCUAACCACUAGGUUACCUGCUGCUCUAACCACUAGGCUACCUGCCGCUCUAACCACUAGGCUACCUGCCGCUCUAACCACUAUGUUACCUGCCUACCUAAUGCUCUUACCACUAGGCUACCUGCCGCCACAUCGCUCUAACCACUAGGCUACCUGCCGCUCUAACCACGAGGUUACCUGCCGCCCCAACGCUAUAACCACUAGGCUACCUGCCGCUCUUACCACUAGGCUACCUGCCGCCCCAACGCUCUAAUUACUAGGCUACCUGCCGCUCUAACCACUAGGCUACCUGCCGCCCCAACGCUCUAGGCUAUCUGCCACAACAACGAUCUAACCACUAGGCUACCUGCCUCCCCAACGCUCUAACCACUAUGCUACCUGCCACCCCAACGCUUUAACCAUUAGGCUACCUGCCUCCCUAACGCCCUCACCACUAGGCUACCUGUCUCCCCAACGCUCUAACCACUAGGCUACCUGUCUCCCCAACGCCCUAACCACUAGGCUACCUGCCUCCCCAACGCCCUAACCACUAGGCUACCUUUCUCUCCAACACUCUAACCAUCAGGCUACCUGCUGCCCCAAUGCUCUAACCACUAGGCUACCUGCCGCUCUAACCACUAGGUUACCUGUCACCCCAACGCUCUAACCACUAGGCUACCUGGCUCCCCAACGCUCUAACCACUAGGCUACCUGCCGCCCCAACGCUCUAACCACUAGGCUACCUGCCUCCCCAACGCUCUAACCACUAGGCUAACUGCCUCCCCAACGCUCUAACCACUAGGCUACAUGCCUCCGCAAUGCUCUAACCACUAGGCUACCUGCCUCCCCAACGCUCUAACCACUAGGUCACCUGCCACCCCAACGCUCUAACCACUAGGCUACCUGCCUCCCCAACGCUCUAACCACU
Molecule: long non-coding RNA, 1487 nt
Organism: Oncorhynchus tshawytscha (Chinook salmon)
Lineage: Eukaryota; Metazoa; Chordata; Actinopteri; Salmoniformes; Salmonidae
Source: Ensembl